GCUACCGCCAUCUUAAAAGAGGCAGGGGAGGCAGAGGCGCGACCCAGGGUCUCGUUCCUCCGCGCGUGGGUAGGCAGCUCCACGCAGAGGGAGGCGGGCGCCCCUCCCUCCCAGGUGCUAUGGAAAAAUGCUCUGGUGUAUUUGUUUAUGUGUAUGGGCCCUGCAUUUUGGAAAUGCAGUGACUGUUAACACUGGUGACCAUUUUAGUUGUGAGGCUAAUAACAGUUACGUAAUCCAAGGAAUGCCUCUUCAACUUAAUGGCACCAUAGCAAUAUACGCAAAUGAACGAUUGACCAAUUGUUACGUGGUCUGGGAAGACAAGUCCAGUGGAAAGACUAUGACUGCCUUCAUGGUAGACAACAGUGAGUCAAAUGUAACCCUAGAAAAUGCUAAUGGAGACACGCUUGUAUCCGUGUUCAGAUUGGAUGUUGGAUGCAUGUGGAUAAUUAGUGAUACUUUUCUCACUGGCUGCACUCUUCAAGUGGCAGUAAACAAUGGUUCACUUUGUUCAUAUGUGGAAACAAAACUGAAUAGUUGGAUGAAAGUUGGGGUAAACACUAUUGAUAUUGUAAUCAGUGUUAAAUAAGAGCUGAAAAAAUUAAUUUGUAUACCCCUAUUCAAAUGUUUACUGGACACAUGCAGUGUAUCAACUUCACAAAUGUCAGACAUUUUGGUUCACAGAAUAAGAACAAGUUUUGUGAGUAUGGAAAUGUUACAUUCAGUGUUAGGUGCAUAAGUAGCAUUGAUGUAGACGUAAAUGUAAACGGUACCGGUAAAUGGAUUCACUGGCCUGUAUGGUCUCAGGAAGGUCAAGGAAGUUACUGUUGUUCGUAGACCAUAUAAAAGUUAUAUCGGAGCUGUGGUGGUGAAGAGGGACAUAAAAAAAAACUACUGCUGAUCGACCCUCGUUACUCUCUGAAAAAUAAUGUCACUUCAGUUAGAUAUUUCUGCGUACAGUAUAAGUAUGCACUGUAUGUAAUGCCACUCAGGGUGGGAUGGUACUUCUGGCUGGAAAGCAUCACAAUAAGGAACUCUAGACGGAGCAAAAGAGACACCCUAGCUAUGAUCCUUGGAGGGGUGGGCACUGGCCUAGGUGUCCUUAACACUAUAGAUAAGGAAAUCUUGGCUAGCAAGAUAGGGGCUAUAGGUGCAGAUAUAGCUUCCCUUUUGCAUGCACAGACAACAUCCCUAAACCAACUGAGUGGGAUGCAAUGUAGAAUUGCUAGUGUACUGCCAGGGUGGUUAAGGAUCCAGGAGCAGGAUCAUCUGAAUAUUAUAACUGUUUUAGAUGUCCUGCAGACCAGUGUGUCCCUGGCCCUGUCCUGUAUGCUGUCUCGGGACUAGAUAUUCACAGUAGCAAAAGAUCUAAUCAGAGAUGGGUUUAGUGGAGUUCUGCCAAUAGAGUUGAGGGGAGUCAUCUGGAGAAACUUCAUCUCCUUUGAACAAGAUCACCAACAAUGGUGGAGGUUAGUGAAUUUCUCUUACACAAAUGAGAUUAUAAUUAUUGCAUUUGUCUUCACUAUUGAGCAGGCCCAGAAGGAACGGAUUUACUCUUUGGUUCCACUAGGACUUAAUGUCAGUUAGUCUGUCUUUAUGCCGGUAGAGUUGAAUAGGUGGGUGUACGAGAAAGAGGGUACCUACAGGAGUGUUAACUUGAACUCCUGUGUAGAGGAGUAUGGUAUAGGUUAUACCUGUGGCUCAGGGGUAAUUGAGACAUCCCAUAUCUGUUUAGAUCCUAAAGAGGGUAAAUGCCAUCACAGAGUAAGUGCCAGUGAUUAUAACUGAUCUGUUAUUGUAUUUGUGGAUACAAAAUGCAUCUGCAUUGUUGGUAUCCAAAGUUUGUGGUAAAUUAUUUCCAUGAGGUAUUUCACAAUCCCUACGUUAACCCGUGCCUGUGCUCUGUACCAUCUGUGUGAUGAGAUGUGGUAUUGAUUUUGUUCUGACCAAUGUGUCAGUGCAAACCAAGAGCAUGCAUUAUGUGCUCUAUGAUCAUGUAACACCAGUAUACAUGGGUGCAAAUCUUUCUCUGCUCAGAGAGAUUGUACAUCGUCCAGAGCUUAGGCAGCAGUUGAGGCAGCUGGAGAAAGAUGGAGAGGAGGUGAUGCUGACAGUCCAUCACUCCUCUAGGCAGAUAAGGACGAUUCUGAAGUGGGUGGCUUAAGAGUCUAGGUUCAGCCACUGGUGGGAAGGAUUAUUCAGUGGGUCGACUAAUCUGAAUGAGAUAUGGAGUAUCUUCUUGCACCCAAGAGUAAUGGUAUUGAUUGUUCAGAUUCUAAUGAUAAUAGGAAUGGUCAUAUUGGUUUGUUGGGUCAGAAAAAGAGUUAAAAGGGUUACCAGUAUUAACCAAAGGUUAAUAUCAGGGUAGUACUUGGAGGUAAUGGUUCCUUUCACUCAACAGCUGUGAAAGAAAUUAACCAAGGGUUUAAAUCUAGGUAACAUUUGGGGUUACUUGGACAAUGGACAGACUACCUUAUUCAGAUAUAGUAAUGUGGGGGCUCAACAUUUGUAUUACUGCACAUGGCCACGAAAGAGGGGAAAUGUAAACAGUGAAUUGCCAUUUUGGUUAUUCUCACACUCCUGUGUCCUCCAUCUUAGAUGGGCUUCUUGUUGUCUCAGUCGUAAUUUGGCACCCUUUUUCCAAGUACUUGUCCCUGAUUGGACAGUCACAACUUUGUUGGUGUUUGAAAUCUUUUAGGCGGUCCGUGUAAGUAACGGAUACUGCAGCUGCCUGGAUACUGCUGGCAAGUCUGCCCAGUAACCAGAAAGAGCAGGAAAGGAUAUGUGAUCAAUGUGAAAAUCUAUAUAAGGACUUGACACACAGCGACUGGUUGCAAUCUGUCCUAGUGGCAGCCUGUGUCCACGUCUGGUCAGGGGAAAGCAAGAGCUCCAGCUUUGUUAGUACUAUAUAGACUGGUUCAUAGAAUCUCAGGAUUGGAAGGGACCUCAGGAGAUCAUCUAGUCCAACAUCCUGCUCAAAGCAGGGCCAAUCCCCAAUUUUUGCCCCAGAUCCCUAAAUGGCCCCCUCAAGGAUUGAACUCACAACCCUGGGUUUAGCAGGCCAAUGCUCAAACCACUGAGCUAUCCCUCCCCCACCUAUGAACCAGGUUGUACUAUAGACUUGGGGAAAACAGAGGUUAGCUCUGCUAGUAGCGGAGAUGAAGAAAAGACGACGAGGAGACAUGCAAGCUUACCAUUGCUCCUGGCCCUUUCCUUGGCAGAGGUAGUCCUGACGGCAAGUUCCUGAGCAGUGUCUCCUGGGUUCCAGAGGCUGGUUCCUGAUUGAAGACUUCGGGGUUCUAGAUCCGUUACCCUCAUCCUUGUUUCCUGUGUGGAUACGGAGGUGUUAUGUCCUACCCAACACAAGAAGGCCCAUCGACACCAGACAAACCAUUGUGGAACAUCAGAGGACAAAAGACUUUGUUGAUUGCUCCCCUGUCUUCCAUGAAGAGGAGACUGAAUUCCUUGCAACAGCUGAACUUGCAUCUUGCAGCAGAAGGGGAGAAGGUAUAAAAGGCCUUAACAAGGAGAAAUUGGAUCUUUAAUGUUAUUUGCACUCUGAGGGGCACGGAUUAUUAAGAAAAAGUAAAAAAUCCCCAGUGCUUGGCCUGGGGUACCCCUAAAGGACAUAUAGUGCUUGCUUAUUAUAGAUGCUUGUAUUACUACUUGAGACUUAAGAGUGGAAGCAUUUGUGUAUAUAUGUUUACUUGCAUUAAGCUUAUUUCCUUUUCCUAGUUAAUAAAUCUUUAGAGUUUAUUAUGAGAUUGACUACAGGUGUUGUCUGUGGUGUGAGAUCUAAGGUGCAAUGGACAUGGGGUAAGUGACUGGUCUUUUGGGACUGGAAGUAACCUGAAUAUUGCUGUGAUCAUUGGUGUAAAGGACUAUCUAUCACGAAGGUAAGCUUACCUCCAUGGCUCGUAUCCAAGGGGACUGUUUGUGAUUCCAUGUUAAGGCCACUACAGUGCUUGUGGAGUUCACACUUGAUGAUUGAUCGGUGAAAUCUAAAUAUAGAAGUCCCCGCCCAGUUGGGGUUUGUACCCUAGGGGUAGUACUCAGGCUCUCGAGCCACUGCAGAGACAAAAGACUGUUUGCAGUAUAACGGAGGGGAGAGGCAUUCUGUAUCCUUGAACUGAAGAGACAUCCUGAGCAGCUGGGGUGAUCUCAUGAAAAGUUGGUUCCUGGUUCCUGUGAAGUCAGCUAGCUCUGCAAGAGAUUGAAGUUUGUGGGUGGGAGAAACUUUGUUAGCUAGAAAAGGUAGCUUUUAGUAAGUGUAGAUUCAGGUUUGUGUUUUAUCGUUUUGUAUUGUAACCUUUUGUUUCCAUCACUCUCUCUGUUGUUUCUAGUUGAAUACAUAAAUAAACUGUUUGUUUUUAUUACAAGUGUUGUACAGGAAGGGGGGAGGUUAAGGUAAAACUAGUAAACUGGGGUGCACUGCUCCUAUGGGGGCAGAGGAUCUGGGAUUUCUGUGAGUAGCUAGUGUCAGGGGCUGGAUAUCACAAGGUAAUGUUUCAAAGGGACUCGGGCUGGGGUGCACCUCUUGUUAACCUGCAAGGUGAAGUCAGGACUGGCACACCCAAGAGGAGAGUGCUUGGGUGGCUGACAGGCUGGUCAUGUUAGGGAGCUGACCCCCAGUUACCAAGACUCCCUCACCCUAGAAGCAGGGCUAACGAGUUGACUCAGUCCGGGAUACCCCAGGAACCAGCCCAGUGGUGUAGUCAGUAGGAUCUUUACCCUGCUUGCUAGCUAACCACAUCCCAUGCUCACAGUGCUUAUAAACCAGUGACCAAGAGCCUAGAGAAUGUGAAGGUUGGAAAGAAGGGAAGAAAGGGUUACUCUUUGUUGUCUGUGUGUUUGUUUCAGGUAAGGGACUAGAGUGGCAGAAGAGGCUGGAUGAGCAGAGAAAUACAUGCUAAUCACACCAAGAAGCAAUAGGAGGAGCUGUGUGCUGAGUGCUGGCUAUUUGCUGCAGGAAAAGAUACGGCUGGGUUAAGACCCUCCUCAUGGAAUAUGCCAAGCCGCAUGAAGGGCAGCCGAGCUCCAAGUGAGCGUGAAGACUCUGGGAACCCACGUGGUGCCACCACCACCAGCGUGACAGCUCUGGACCUGGACAAGACCAGGGCAGAGCUCUGUAAAAUGGACCUAGCAGAAAAAGAGAAGGAGGGUGAGCAUCAACAGCGAAUGGUGGAAAUUGCAGCCAAAGAGAAUGAAGCAGCACAUCAGAGACAGCUGGAGCUGGAAGAAGCUGUAUGCCAGCAAUCCAUGGAGUUGGAGGAGCAAAAGCGUGAACCAAAAGAUCAUGAGCAAGAUGCUGGAGAGGUAUAUACCGAACCCCCAGACAGCAGGCAAUCCUCCAAAAGGGGCACCAGCUGAGACAGACUUUGCCUUACUCUCUGAUACAAUCCGUCUCUCUCUCUCCACUCUUGAAAGAAUAUAUGAACUGUACAAGAUUCCAGAGGAAAAGAGUGUACCCACGCUGAUCUCCAAGCUGACUGGUAGAGCAUUGGGAGUGGUUAAUGAGAUGGACAAGGGGCAGGCACUGAAAGGACGAGUUGAAACAAGCUGUGUUUCAAAGGUUUCAGAUCACCCCAGAGCUGUAUCGUUUUAAGGUUCAGAACUCUCAAAAGCAUGACAAGGAACGUUUCCUGAGUAGAUGUACUGAAGGAGUCAGAGCGCCGAUCUUUGAUAACCCCCCUGCCACUGUAUGGAGUAUAGCUGAUAUCAAGACUCCUACAUACAGGCCAGACUGUUCAGUGAGCACAGACCCCAGAAGGAGGGGCAGAAGCCCAGUACAAAAGGGGGACCCUGUUUUAUGUCUGGGAAAAGGGAGGGUGUGGUGGUGAGUCCAAGCACCCACCACCACAGAACUGAUCACCUCCCAGUAGUCAAAAUUACAGGCCUCUAGCACAGCAGGAUGGCCCAAAAAGUGCUACUUAUCUGACUCCACUGAGCACAUGAAAAGAAAUUAUCCUAAGCAAUGGGUAUCCGAAUAUAAACCCUGUUCAGCCCAGGUUAAUGUGGCUACUUUGGACUGAGGGGACCCUAGUGAAUGCUGUAAGGUCUGACCUAUUGGUGGUUGAUAAAGAGUUUAUUAAAGAUUCCAAGGUGAAUGCUAAGGUUUGCCAAGGUUGGAGGGUCACUUACACCCAAAUUUCUCUGGUCAGAAAAGACCUGGUUGUGGAAUCUGAUCUACUCCCCGAGGAAAAUUAAAACUCCUUCCAUUGGGAAACUCUGAAAUCACUGUACCCUUAGUUCGUUGGAGUGGGAAGGUUUAAAAGGUACUUUAACAGCUGCUAUACUGGAUAGACAAGGUGGAUGAGGUAAUGUCUUUUAAUGGACCAAUGUCUGUAGAUGAAAGAGACAAACUUUUGAGCUGUACAGAGCUCUUCUGCGGGGCUGGGAAAGGUGCUCAGGGUGUCUCAGCUGUCACUGCUGUAUAGUAGAACCUCCCAUUUAUGAACAUUGACUUAAUAAAGCUUUGAAAUUUUACUAUUCAGAAAAAAUGCUGCUUUUGACCAUCUUAAUUUAAAUGAAACAAGCACAGAAUCAGUUUUCCUUUAUUUUUUGUAGUAUACGUUUAACACAAUACUGUACUGUGUUGGCUUUUUUUGGUCUCUGCUGCUGCCUGAUUGCGUACUUCCAGUUCCAAAUGAGGUGUGCGGUUUACUGGUCCGUUCGUAACUCUGGUGUUUGUAGCUCUCAGGUUCUACUAUAUUUGUGUUCACACCCAAAGCAGGCUCAGCAAAAGAAGCUGAUUUCUCAACUUCCUGCUCUGCAGACGAGCUGCUCCUGCCUGCUGCUAAUGGUGCAGAGCUCUCAGCUCCCUGUGUUUGGGGACUAAGGGUCUGCCUACACUGGCAGAGUUACAGUGCUGGCCGUUACAACGCCGCUCAGAGAGCACUGAAGGGAAACCGCUGUUGUGUGUUCACGUUGUUAGCUGCCUGCACGAUAGCAUGUUGCAGUGGUAUUCGGAGUGGUGCACUCUGGGCAGCUAUCCCACAGAGCAUCUCUUCCUCCCCUGCUGCUAAGAGUUGUGGGAAGGCAGAGGGGGUUGCUGGACAUCCUGGGUCCUGUCCCAAUGCCCCAUGAUGCAUUGCUUUGAAUUCCAGCAAUCCCUGUGCUUCCGUCUGCAUUUGGCGCCAUCUGCCAACCGUUUGUGUACUGCGCACUCUGCCUCUUCGGUCUGCAGGAAUGGCUCCUGAACUGUGAGCUGUUUCCCUGCGACCAUGACCUGAUCUCAUAGGAGCAAGCUCAGUUUAUAUUGUAUGUGCACGAUUGUGUUUAGCAAUAUAAGCUGGCUGAAAUGCAAGCAGGAGGACACAGAAUCGCAGCAUUUAGGCUUGGCAACAGGCCAAACCCUAAGCAAGGCCUAAUAAGGCACUGAGUCCAAGUGCUUGACAUGAGGUCAUAAGAUUUGGUAACACAUAGCUUGUAACACGCAUGUACACCCACCACAUAAACUUUACGUAGUGGAUUUCUAGGGGAUUUUGGGAUAUAUGUAACCACGGAGAAACCACACUGAUGUGUCAAAACUACUUGCCAGUUAGGUAUUAACUCUUGGAAGUUUAACUGUGGUUAGCCGGAAUACCAUGCAUGGGCAGGGGCUGAAACAUUAUCAGAUGUGGUCAUGUACAUGUGGGGAUGGAACAGGAAAACGGCUGGAUAUUAGGAGAAACUUUUUCACUAGGAGGGUGGUGAAACACUGGAAUGCGUUACUUAGGGAGGUGGUGGAAUCUCCUUCCUUUGAAGUUUUUAAGGUCAGGCUUGACAAAGCCCUGGCUGGGCUGAUUUAGUUGGGGAUUGGUCUUGCUUUGAGCAGAGGGUUGGACUAGAUGACCUCCCGAGGUCCCUUCCAACCCUGAUAUUCAAUGAAGUCCAUAGUAGUAUUUGCAUGCUUGUGAAUGAGACUACUGUAUCUUGCAGUUGUGACAAGGAACUUAACUUAUUCUUAAUUAUCUUUAGGUUUAUAGUAUUUGUAAUUUUUGCUCCAAAACCAACUCCUCCUAAUAUGGUGUCUACUACAUUUCGUUUUGCUCAGCCAUUGGAGUGUUGAUGUGUUUUUAUCCAGGAUGUUGUAAUAGGAAGGGAGUAGGGUAAACAUUUGAGUUCCAAUAUAGACACUUUUAGCUAAGUCCAAUUCAUACCAAUUUUUAUUUUUUACUAAUAGUGGAUUUAACAAGACUUUUACUGGAUCACUUUGAGUCACAAACACUUUUUUGGUUUCUUUAUUUUAAUUGGGGUACCUUUCUUGAAUGCAUAGUCUCUGGUCCAGGUUCUGGUGCACGUGUCUGGGAACGAUAGGUUCAAUUCACCAUGGGGUAUUGGACAGUACCCCACAAUAACUGUUAGUAUUGUUCCUGUCUUAACAGGCUCGUCCCACGGAUGUGAUAGUUGUGGGUAGCUGGAACUCCAGGUGGUAUCCCCAUAGGGACCCUCUAUUUUAACCCCUAUUUCCCAGUGGUUUGGUAUUUUUGUUGUGUUUAUAAGGUACACUUUAAGUCCCACUUCCCCUUCCCAGGCAUACACAUUGGUAUUUCCUAAGGGUCUUAAGGGUUGGCUAGUGUUUUUAUUAUACUAUUUCAUGAGGAUCACCGGAUCACAGGUAGGAAUCCAUGAUUGGUUGGCGGGGAGUGAAUUAUUCCUUAAAUAUUGGUUCUAAUUAUCGGGGCACUAAAAGUUCCCAGAAGCAGGUAAAGCCAGGCCUUACACUGGAGGAGAAGAAGGCACACUGCCAGCUCCCAAGGAGGGACAGCCAACGAUCCAGGGUCCAGCCAAGCCGGGAGGCACCCUGCGUCCCUGACCGAGGUCUCGACAGGAGGGGAUGGACCGGAGGACCUCCCCCGCCCAUUUGGAGAACACGACGUUGAGGGUAGGAAGUGACCCAGGGGAACUUUAGAGACAAGCAGCGUUAAAGCCGCAUGGACACUCGACGUGUUGCGGGCGGAUCCCCGCCAAGCUAAGCGCAAGGGGGAACCCCGCCAAUAGGCGAGCCCUGGGUCGGGACCCGGUGGAGAGGGUGGGCCCAGGUCCCCCUACCACUCCGGCCAUUAGGAUACUUCCCCGCCUGAGAGGGGGAAGGCUAUGGACUCUGGCCGUUGGGUCACACUGCCCUGAUUCAUGGGGAGAGUUAUAUGGACUUUGGCUGUUGGGCUAUGCUGCCCUAAUACUUGGGGCGAGUUGUAUGGAUUCUGACCGUUAGGGCCCACUACCCCGACCAAGGGGCGAGCACAGGGAAACUGGCCAUUGGGUCACAUCAUGACUCCCUUAAAGGGAUGGGCGUGGGAAUUUAAGAGUGGUGAGGCCCCGACACCACAUCCACCCCUCCCACAAAGAGGUGCAGCAGUGCCGGACCCAUCACACUCCCCCAUUGUCAGAAUUUAUUAUUUUGGGGGUGCCAUAUUUACAUACUACCUUAUUAAAGAACUUUUUGGCCACCACCCUGGUGCUGUUAUUUUUUAGUGGGAAAUGCCUCCACCCAUCCUGAAAAGGAAUCAAUUUAUCACCAAUAAGUACUGGAAUCCUUCCUUACUCCUUGGCAGUUUAUUAAUAAAACUAAUUUGAACCCUGUGCCAUGGCCCAAGCCUUCAUUGGUGCAUCAUGAGUUGCCAGUGCAGAGGAUGAACCUUGUCCUGAGCGCACCGCACACAAUUCUACACCAAUGUUUUAACAUCAUCCUCCAUACACUCCCAUUUGGCUACUUGCUUUAGCGUUCUUAAAGUUCCUUCUACUCCUUCAUGCAUAAACUGAUGGGCUACAUACAUUAAGUAACUCUUGUCUUUCUAAUUUUUUUGGAAAAAAGAAAAGGAGUACUUGUGGCACCUUAGAGAAUAACAAAUUUAUUUGAGCAUAAAGCUUUCGUGAGCUACAGCUCACUUCAUCGGAUGCAUGUUAGUCUCUAAGGUGCCACAAGUCCUCUUCUUUUUGCGAAUACAGACUAACACGGCUGAUACUCUGAAACCUCAAAAAGAAA
This is a non-coding RNA of Caretta caretta (loggerhead turtle), 9964 nucleotides long. Lineage: Eukaryota; Metazoa; Chordata; Testudines; Cheloniidae. The record is from RefSeq and is a predicted model, not a curated record.